This 301-nucleotide ribosomal RNA is filed under the name uncultured bacterium. RNAcentral describes it as "partial 16S ribosomal RNA". It matches the Rfam family "Archaeal small subunit ribosomal RNA", at positions 459 to 759 of the family's 1478-position model. The record is from RNAcentral.
CAGCCGCCGCGGGAAUACCAGCAGCCCAAGUGGUGGUCGCGAUUAUUGGGCCUAAAGCGCUCGUAGCCGGGCCGGUAAGUCCCUUGUGAAAUCGGACGGCCUAACCGUUCGGCGUGCAAGGGAUACUGUCGGUCUUGAGGCCGGGAGACGUCCGAGGUACUCCGGGGGUAGCGGUGAAAUGUUCUGAUCCUCGGGGGACCACCGGUGGCGAAGGCGUUCGACGAGAACGGGCCUGACGGUGAGGGGCGAAGGCUAGGGGAGCAAACGGGAUUAGAUACCCCAGUAGUCCCUGUCUCUUAUU